AGUAAAAGUCGUAACAAGGUCUCCGUUGGUGAACCAGCGGAGGGAUCAUUACAGAGUUGCAAAACUCCCACAAACCAUCGCGAAUCUUACCCGUACGGUUGCCUCGGCGCUGGCGGUCCGGAAAGGCCCUCGGGCCCUCCCGGAUCCUCGGGUCUCCCGCUCGCGGGAGGCUGCCCGCCGGAGUGCCGAAACUAAACUCUUGAUAUUUUAUGUCUCUCUGAGUAAACUUUUAAAUAAGUCAAAACUUUCAACAACGGAUCUCUUGGUUCUGGCAUCGAUGAAGAACGCAGCGAAAUGCGAUAAGUAAUGUGAAUUGCAGAAUUCAGUGAAUCAUCGAAUCUUUGAACGCACAUUGCGCUCGCCAGUAUUCUGGCGAGCAUGCCUGUUCGAGCGUCAUUUCAACCAUCAAGCUCUGCUUGCGUUGGGGAUCCGCGGCUGCCCGCGGUCCCUCAAAAUCAGUGGCGGGCUCGCUAGUCACACCGAGCGUAGUAACUCUACAUCGCUAUGGUCGUGCGGCGGGUUCUUGCCGUAAAACCCCCCAUUUCUAAGGUUGACCUCGGAUCAGGUAGGAAUACCCGCUGAACUUAAGCAUAUCAAUAAGCGGAGGA
This 608-nucleotide ribosomal RNA is filed under the name uncultured fungus. RNAcentral's name for it is "eukaryotic LSU rRNA". The stretch from base 243 to 396 matches the Rfam family "5.8S ribosomal RNA". Lineage: Eukaryota; Fungi. The record is from RNAcentral.